This 433-nucleotide ribosomal RNA is filed under the name uncultured bacterium. RNAcentral's name for it is "bacterial SSU rRNA". It matches the Rfam family "Bacterial small subunit ribosomal RNA", at positions 29 to 507 of the family's 1533-position model. The record is from RNAcentral.
AACGAACGCUGGCGGCAUGCCUAACACAUGCAAGUCGAACGAGACCUUCGGGUCUAGUGGCGCACGGGUGCGUAACGCGUGGGAAUCUGCCCUUCGGUUCGGAAUAACUCAGGGAAACUUGAGCUAAUACCGGAUAAUGACGUAAGUCCAAAGAUUUAUCGCCGAAGGAUGAGCCCGCGUAGGAUUAGCUUGUUGGUGGGGUAAUGGCCCACCAAGGCGACGAUCCUUAGCUGGUCUGAGAGGAUGAUCAGCCACACUGGGACUGAGACACGGCCCAGACUCCUACGGGAGGCAGCAGUGGGGAAUAUUGGACAAUGGGCGAAAGCCUGAUCCAGCAAUGCCGCGUGAGUGAUGAAGGCCCUAGGGUUGUAAAGCUCUUUCGCCAGGGACGAUAAUGACGGUACCUGGAUAAGAAGCCCCGGCUAACUUCGUG